GUAAUGCCGGAUGCUCCAGUUGAUCGCAUGGUCUUCUGGGAAAGCUUUCGCGGUAUGGGAUGGGGUCGCGUCCUAUCAGCUUGACGGCGGGGUAACGGCCCACCGUGGCUUCGACGGGUAGCCGGCCUGAGAGGGCGACCGGCCACAUUGGGACUGAGAUACGGCCCAGACUCCUACGGGAGGCAGCAGUGGGGAAUAUUGCACAAUGGGCGCAAGCCUGAUGCAGCGACGCCGCGUGAGGGAUGGAGGCCUUCGGGUUGUAAACCUCUUUUAUCGGGGAGCAAGCGAGAGUGAGUUUACCCGUUGAAUAAGCACCGGCUAACUACGUGCCAGCAGCCGCGGUAAUACGUAGGGUGCAAGCGUUAUCCGGAAUUAUUGGGCGUAAAGGGCUCGUAGGCGGUUCGUCGCGUCCGGUGUGAAAGUCCAUCGCUUAACGGUGGAUCCGCGCCGGGUACGGGCGGGCUUGAGUGCGGUAGGGGAGACUGGAAUUCCCGGUGUAACGGUGGAAUGUGUAGAUAUCGGG
Molecule: ribosomal RNA, 523 nt
Filed under: Bifidobacterium longum subsp. suillum
Lineage: Bacteria; Bacillati; Actinomycetota; Actinomycetes; Bifidobacteriales; Bifidobacteriaceae
Description: bacterial SSU rRNA
Rfam family: Bacterial small subunit ribosomal RNA
Source: RNAcentral